Molecule: ribosomal RNA, 369 nt
Filed under: uncultured bacterium
Lineage: Bacteria
Description: bacterial SSU rRNA
Rfam family: Bacterial small subunit ribosomal RNA
Source: RNAcentral
GUAGGGUGCAAGCGUUAAUCGGAAUUACUGGGCGUAAAGCGUGCGCAGGCGGUUGUGUAAGUCAGAUGUGAAAUCCCCGGGCUCAACCUGGGAAUUGCAUUUGAGACUGCACGGCUAGAGUGUGUCAGAGGGGGGUAGAAUUCCACGUGUAGCAGUGAAAUGCGUAGAUAUGUGGAGGAAUACCGAUGGCGAAGGCAGCCCCCUGGGAUAACACUGACGCUCAUGCACGAAAGCGUGGGGAGCAAACAGGAUUAGAUACCCUGGUAGUCCACGCCCUAAACGAUGUCUACUAGUUGUCGGGUCUUAAUUGACUUGGUAACGCAGCUAACGCGUGAAGUAGACCGCCUGGGGAGUACGGUCGCAAGAUUA